Long non-coding RNA from Phycodurus eques (leafy seadragon), 509 nucleotides. RefSeq lists it as uncharacterized. The transcript is spliced from 2 exons. Lineage: Eukaryota; Metazoa; Chordata; Actinopteri; Syngnathiformes; Syngnathidae. The record is from RefSeq and is a predicted model, not a curated record.
ACGUCAUUCGUUACAUCUACGAGUCGCGCCCAGUUCAACUCGUCUGGGCGGACUCAACGUUGCUUCUCGGCCGAGCUUCGCUCAGCUUGCUCGCCGCGAACAAAGAGGGAGACGCGUUCGUGAUCGACACGCCGCUCGGCAGAGAUCAAGUGUGAAAAUGAGCGCAAGAAGGACAGAAGAGACGCAACGUCAACUACUGGACGAUGUUCGCACAAGGCAGCCUCGAGUUUGGUGACGCCGAGCAGCGGAGGAACCUUCAUCGGUGUGUGCGUGCGUGCGUGCGUGCGUUGCGUUGUGUUGGUUUGAAUAAUGCUGUGACACCGGGACCUUUUUGGAGACGAUCUCCGUUUAUUCUGAUAAAAAUAGACAACAGCAGAGCCUCCAUGGAAAUUGCACCGUCCGCUCAAAUAAAAUAUUAUUUCCCAAUGCAACUCCGCUGACACGGAGCCAUUGUGAGAUCAAUGAACAUUGAGACCAGAGAUGCAUAUAAUAAACAAAGAGAAACACGA